Molecule: ribosomal RNA, 440 nt
Filed under: uncultured bacterium
Lineage: Bacteria
Description: partial 16S ribosomal RNA
Rfam family: Bacterial small subunit ribosomal RNA
Source: RNAcentral
CCUACGGGGUGCAGCAGUGGGGGAUAUUGCACAAUGGGGGGAACCCUGAUGCAGCGACGCCGCGUGGGUGAAGAAGCGCCUCGGCGCGUAAAGCCCUGUCAGCAGGGAAGAAAAUGACGGUACCUGAAGAAGAAGCCCCGGCUAACUACGUGCCAGCAGCCGCGGUAAUACGUAGGGGGCAAGCGUUAUCCGGUGUUACGGGGUGUAAAGGGGGCGCAGGCGGCGCGGCAAGCCAGGAGUGAAAGCCCGGGGCCCAACCCCGGGACUGCUCGUGGAACUGCGUGGCUGGAGUGCAGAAGGGGCAGGAGGAAUUCCUGGUGUAGCGGUGAAAUGCGGAGAUAUCAGGAGGAACACCGGUGGCGAAGGCGGCCUGCUGGACUGCAACUGACGUUGAGGCCCGAAAGCGUGGGGAGCAAACAGGAUUAGAUACCCUUGUAGUC